AGAGUGAACGCUGGCGGCAGGCCUAACACAUGCAAGUCGAACGGCAGCACAGGGGAGCUUGCUCCCUGGGUGGCGAGUGGCGGACGGGUGAGGACAACGUCGGAAUCUGCCUUUUUGUGGGGGAUAACGUAGGGAAACUUACGCUAAUACCGCAUACGGACCCCGGGCCGGGAGGUACGGGUGAAAGCGGAGGACCUUCGGGCUUCGCGCAGAGAGAUGAGCCGACGUCGGAUUAGCUAGUUGGUGGGGUAAAGGCCC
RNAcentral lists this ribosomal RNA (258 nucleotides) under uncultured soil bacterium. RNAcentral's name for it is "partial 16S ribosomal RNA". It matches the Rfam family "Bacterial small subunit ribosomal RNA", at positions 26 to 266 of the family's 1533-position model. The record is from RNAcentral.